AAUUGAACGCUGGCGGAAUGCUUUCCUUUUGCAAGUCGAACGGUAGAGGGGGCAACCCCUUGAGAGUGGCGAACGGGUGAGUAAUGUAUCGAAACGUGCCCAGUCGUGGGGGAUAACGUAGUGAAAAUUACGCUAAUACCGCAUACAAUCUAUGGAUGAAAGCGGGGGAUCGCAAGACCUCGCGCGAUUGGAGCGGCCGAUAUCAAAUUAGGUAGUUGGUGGGGUAAAGGCCUACCAAGCCAACGAUCUGUAGCUGGUCUGAGAGGACAACCAGCCACACUGGAACUGAAACACGGUCCAAACUCCUACGGGAGGCAGCAGUGGGGAAUUUUGGACAAUGGACGCAAGUCUGAUCCAGCCAUUCCGCGUGCAGGACGAAGGCCUUCGGGUUGUAAACUGCUUUUGUACGGAACGAAAAAGCUCUUACUAAUACUAGGAGUCCAUGACGGUACCGUAAGAAUAAGCACCGGCUAACUACGUG
This 481-nucleotide ribosomal RNA is filed under the name uncultured bacterium. Its description in RNAcentral is "bacterial SSU rRNA". It matches the Rfam family "Bacterial small subunit ribosomal RNA", at positions 30 to 507 of the family's 1533-position model. The record is from RNAcentral.